UUAAAAGUCAAGAUGGAGGUAAAAAGCUUAGGGGUAACUGUUGACUGUAAUCUGAAUUUUAAAUCACAUAUUAAUCAGACCACUAGGACAGCAUUUUUUCACUUAAGAAACAGCAAAAGUUAGACCUCUUAUAUCAUUGAAAGAUGCUGAGAAAUUAGUUCACGCAUUUGUUUUCAGUCGACUAGAUUACUGUAACGCACUCCUCUCAGGACUACCCAAAAAAGACAUAAAUUGUUUGCAACUAGUGCAGAAUGCAGCUGCUAGAAUCCUAACUAGGAAAAGAAAAUCCGAGCACAUUUCUCCAGUUUUGAUGUCACUACACUGGUUACCUGUGUCAUUCAGGAUUGACUUUAAAAUUCUGCUUAUGGUUUAUAAAGCCUUAAAUAAUCUUGCCCCAUUUUAUAUAUCGGAAUGUCUGACAUCUUAUAUUCCAAAUCGUAACCUUAGAUCCUCAAAUGAGUGUCUCCUUAGAAUUCCAAGAGCAAAACUUAAAAGCAGUGGUGAGGCGGCCUUCUGCUGUUAUUCACCUAAAAUCUGGAAUAGCCUGCCAAUAGGAAUUCGCCAGGCUAAUACAGUGGAGUACUUUAAAAUAACUGCUGAAAACACAUUACUUUAACAUGGCCUUCUCAUAACUUCACUAUAAUUUAAUCCAGAUACUCUGUAUAUUCAAUUCAUUAUAAUAACUAUUCAUGGUGGCUCUAAAAUCCGUACUAACCCCUACUCUCUCUUCUGUUUCUUUUUCCGGUUUCUUUGUGGUGGCAGCUUGUGCCACCACCAUCUACUCAAAGUACCAUGAUGUUCCAACAUUGAUGGAUUAAAAGCCAGAAGUCUGCAUGACCAUCAUCAUCAAGUCUUUCCAUGAGAACUUUAAAUACAAAGAGGACUAUUUCAUUUUUGUUAGGUAGAAUGCCCAAAGGGGACUGGGCGGUCUCGUGGCCUGGAACCCCUACAGAUUUUAUUUUUUUUCUCCAGCCUUCUGGAUUUUUUUUUUUUUGUUUUUUCUGUCCACCCUGGCCAUCGGACCUUACUCCUUUUCUAUGUUAACUAAUGUUGCCUUAUUUUAAUUUCUUAUUUUGUCUUUUUUUUUUCUGUUCUUCAUUAUGUAAAGCACUUUGAGCUACUUUUUGUAUGAAAAUGUGCUAUAUAAAUAAAUGUUGUUGUUGUU
Molecule: long non-coding RNA, 1165 nt
Organism: Erpetoichthys calabaricus (reedfish)
Lineage: Eukaryota; Metazoa; Chordata; Cladistia; Polypteriformes; Polypteridae
Exons: 3
Source: RefSeq, a predicted model, not a curated record